UACGUAGGGGGCGAGCGUUGUCCGGAUUUAUUGGGCGUAAAGAGCUCGUAGGCGGUUUGGUAAGUCGGGUGUGAAAUCUCCACGCUCAACGUGGAGGGGCCACUCGAUACUGCCAUGACUCGAGUCCGGUAGAGGAGUGUGGAAUUCCUGGUGUAGCGGUGAAAUGCGCAGAUAUCAGGAGGAACACCAGCGGCGAAGGCGGUGCUCUGGGCCGGUACUGACACUGAGGAGCGAAAGCGUGGGUAGCAAACAGG
This 254-nucleotide ribosomal RNA is filed under the name uncultured bacterium. RNAcentral describes it as "partial 16S ribosomal RNA". It matches the Rfam family "Bacterial small subunit ribosomal RNA", at positions 524 to 776 of the family's 1533-position model. The record is from RNAcentral.